AUGCAAGUCGAACGGUAACAUUUCUAGCUUGCUAGAAGAUGACGAGUGGCGGACGGGUGAGUAAUGCUUGGGAACUUGCCUUUGCGAGGGGGAUAACAGUUGGAAACGACUGCUAAUACCGCAUAAUGUCUACGGACCAAACGGGGCUUAGGCUCCGGCGCAAAGAGAGGCCCAAGUGAGAUUAGCUAGUUGGUAAGGUAACGACUUACCAAGGCGACGAUCUCUAGCUGUUCUGAGAGGAAGAUCAGCCACACUGGGACUGGGACACGGCCCAGACUCCUACGGGAGGCAGCAGUGGGGAAUAUUGCACAAUGGGGGAAACCCUGAUGCAGCCAUGCCGCGUGUGUGAAGAAGGCCUUCGGGUUGUAAAGCACUUUCAGUUGUGAGGAAAAGUUAGUAGUUAAUACCUGCUAGCCGUGACGUUAACAACAGAGGAAGCACCGGCUAACUCCGUGCCAGCAGCCGCGGUAAUACGGAGGGUGCGAGCGUUAAUCGGAAUUACUGGGCGUAAAGCGCACGCAGGCGGUUUGUUAAGCUAGAUGUGAAAGCCCCGGGCUCAACCUGGGAUGGUCAUUUAGAACUGGCAGACUAGAGUCUUGGAGAGGGGAGUGGAAUUCCAGGUGUAGCGGUGAAAUGCGUAGAUAUCUGGAGGAACAUCAGUGGCGAAGGCGACUCCCUGGCCAAAGACUGACGCUCAUGUGCGAAAGUGUGGGUAGCGAACAGGAUUAGAUACCCUGGUAGUCCACACCGUAAACGCUGUCUACUAGCUGUGUGUGUCUUUAAGACGUGCGUAGCGAAGCUAACGCGCUAAGUAGACCGCCUGGGGAGUACGGCCGCAAGGUUAAAACUCAAAUGAAUUGACGGGGGCCCGCACAAGCGGUGAGCAUGUGUUUAAUUCGAUGCAACGCGAAAACCUUACCUACACUUGACAUGCUGAGAAGUUACUAGAGAUAGUUUCGGUGCCUUCGGGAACUCAGACAAAGGUGCUGCAUGACUGUCGUCAGCUCGGUGUCGUGAGAUGUUGGGUAAGUCCCGCAACGGACGCCAACCUUGUCUUAGUGCCAGCAAUAGGUUGGCACUUCUAAGAGACUGCGUGACAAACGGAAGAAGGUGGGGCACGACGUCAAGUCAUCA
RNAcentral lists this ribosomal RNA (1134 nucleotides) under uncultured Gammaproteobacteria bacterium. Its description in RNAcentral is "bacterial SSU rRNA". It matches the Rfam family "Bacterial small subunit ribosomal RNA", at positions 55 to 1195 of the family's 1533-position model. Lineage: Bacteria; Pseudomonadati; Pseudomonadota; Gammaproteobacteria. The record is from RNAcentral.